GCACCCGUAGCUCAAUUGGAUAGAGCGGUGGACUUCGGAUCCAUCGGUUGGGGGUUCGAGUCCUCCCGGGUGCG
RNAcentral lists this transfer RNA (74 nucleotides) under Candidatus Poribacteria bacterium. RNAcentral's name for it is "tRNA-Arg". It matches the Rfam family "tRNA". Rfam says of the family: Transfer RNA (tRNA) molecules are approximately 80 nucleotides in length. Their secondary structure includes four short double-helical elements and three loops (D, anti-codon, and T loops). Further hydrogen bonds mediate the characteristic L-shaped molecular structure. tRNAs have two regions of fundamental functional importance: the anti-codon, which is responsible for specific mRNA codon recognition, and the 3' end, to which the tRNAs corresponding amino acid is attached (by aminoacyl-tRNA synthetases). tRNAs cope with the degeneracy of the genetic code in two manners: having more than one tRNA (with a specific anti-codon) for a particular amino acid; and 'wobble' base-pairing, i.e. permitting non-standard base-pairing at the 3rd anti-codon position. RNAcentral also lists the same sequence under 1 other name. The record is from RNAcentral. Lineage: Bacteria; Candidatus Poribacteria.